CAAUAGCGUAUAUUAAAGUUGUUGCAGUUAGAACGCUCGUAGUCGGAUUUCGGGGCGGGCCGACCGGUCUGCCGAUGGGUACGCACUGGUCGGCGCGUCCUUCCUUCCGGAGACCGUGCCUACUCUUAACUGAGCGGGGGCGGGAGACGGAUCGUUUACUUUGAAAAAAUCAGAGUGUUUCAAGCAGGCAGCUCGCUCUUGCAUGGAUUAGCAUGGGAUAAUGAAAUAGGACUUUGGUGCUAUUUUGUUGGUUUCGAACACCGAAGUAAUGAUUAACAGGGACAGUCAGGGGCACUCGUAUUCCGCCGAGAGAGGUGAAAUUCCCAGACCAGCGGAAGACGAACUACUGCGAAAGCAUUUGCCAGGGAUGUUUUCACUGA
This 380-nucleotide ribosomal RNA is filed under the name uncultured eukaryote. RNAcentral describes it as "partial 18S ribosomal RNA". It matches the Rfam family "Eukaryotic small subunit ribosomal RNA", at positions 592 to 976 of the family's 1831-position model. The record is from RNAcentral.